Molecule: ribosomal RNA, 253 nt
Filed under: uncultured bacterium
Lineage: Bacteria
Description: partial 16S ribosomal RNA
Rfam family: Bacterial small subunit ribosomal RNA
Source: RNAcentral
UACGGAGGGUGCGAGCGUUGUCCGGAAUCACUGGGCGUAAAGGGCGCGUAGGUGGCGCGACAAGUCAACGGUGAAAGCUCGGCGCUCAACGCCGAGUCGGCCGUCGAUACUGUUGGGCUUGAGCACUGUAGAGGCAGAUGGAAUUCCGGGUGUAGCGGUGGAAUGCGUAGAGAUCCGGAAGAACACCGGUGGCGAAGGCGGUCUGCUGGGCAGUAGCUGACACUGAGGAGCGAAAGCGUGGGGAGCGAACAGG